UAUUUUUUUUUUAUAUAUAUAUUAGUAUUGCAUACUAUGUUAGGAUAUUUUCAAAGAUUUUGAUAAAUAGAAACAAAGUGUUUAAGGUGUAGUUUUUUUUUUUGUUACAAAAAUAAUUUUACUACUCUUAGUGUUGAUACAUCGAACUUUGUGAUAUCUGUUUUUAAUUUUUAUAUUAGAAAAUUAUAUGUUGUUUUUUUUUUUUUGUAGUUUUAAUAAUUUGAAGUUUUUUUGUUUUAAGUUUUAUAACUUUACUACUUUCCUUUUCUUUUUUUUUUCUUUUUAAUUAUAAUUCUUUAUAGUUUUUAUUAUCUAACAAUUAGUAAAUUAAUAAAUUAUGUUUUUUUUUUUAAUAUAAAUGAAUUACUAAUUAUCUGGUCAAAUGUUUAUUAAAGACUUAGGAUUUAUAUUAAAUCUGUCUUCUGCCCUAUGGUUUUUUUAAAUGGCAGUCUUAGCGUGAGGACAUUAAAGUAGCAAAAUAAUUUGUGCUUUUAUUGGGUUCGAGUAUGAAUGAAGUUUUGGCUGGUGAUAUUUUUUUUUUUUUUUGAAUUUAAUAUACAUCUAAAAAGAGAUGUUUAUAAUAAAACAAAGAUAAGUCUUCGGAAAUUUUAUUUCUAUUAAAAAUUUUUUUUUUUAGUAAUUUAUCUAGGGAAGAUUAUUAUAUAAUUUUUUUUUACUAUUUUUAAUUUAAAAAAUUACUUCGGAGUUAACAGAAAAACAUGCCUUAUGUAGUUCUUAUAUUUUGGUAAGUUUUACAUCGAUGUUGUAUCUUUAUUAGCUGAAGAGGAGAAAUUUCAGUUUUUUAGACUGUUCUUCUUUUAAUAAAUAAAACGUGAUAUUAGUUUAAUUCAUCGUGAGAUAGAAUUGUUUAUCUUGUUUAUUAUUUUUUUUUACCGGGAUUAGUACGAAAGGAAUUUCAUUAUAAUUUUAAAUUUUUUAAUCUU
RNAcentral lists this ribosomal RNA (944 nucleotides) under Strongyloides stercoralis. RNAcentral's name for it is "16S ribosomal RNA". Lineage: Eukaryota; Metazoa; Nematoda; Chromadorea; Rhabditida; Strongyloididae. The record is from RNAcentral.